RNAcentral lists this ribosomal RNA (497 nucleotides) under uncultured bacterium. Its description in RNAcentral is "partial 16S ribosomal RNA". It matches the Rfam family "Bacterial small subunit ribosomal RNA", at positions 28 to 507 of the family's 1533-position model. The record is from RNAcentral.
GAUGAACGCUGGCGGCGUGCCUAAUACAUGCAAGUCGAGCGAACGGACGAGACGCUUGCUUCUCUGAUGUUAGCGGCGGACGGGUGAGUAACACGUGGAUAACCUACCUAUCAGACUGGGAUCACUUCGGGAAACCGUAGCUAAUACCGGAUAAUCUUUUGCACCGUGUGGUUCAUAAGUGAAAGACGGUCUUGCUGUCACUAAUAGAUGGAUCCGCGCUGCAUUAGCUAGUUGGUAAGGUCACGGCUUACCAAGGCAACGAUGCAUAGCCGACCUGCGUGGGUGAUCGGCCACACGGGAACUGAGACACGGUCCAGACUCCUACGGGAGGCAGCAGUAGGGAAUCGUCCGCAAUGGGCGAAAGCCUGACGGAGCAACGCCGCGUGAGUGAUGAAGGUCUUCGGAGCGUAAAACUCUGUUAUGAGGGAAGAACAUAUGUGGAAGGAACUGUGCACAUCGUGACGGUAACGAAUCAGAAAGCCACGGCUAACUACGUG